Molecule: ribosomal RNA, 305 nt
Filed under: uncultured bacterium
Lineage: Bacteria
Description: bacterial SSU rRNA
Rfam family: Bacterial small subunit ribosomal RNA
Source: RNAcentral
UCCUACGGGGGGCAGCAGUGAGGAAUAUUGUUCAAUGGUCGGGAGACUGAACCAGCCAAGCCGCGUGAGGGAUGAAGGUACAGAGUAUCGUAAACCUCUUUUGUCAGGGAACAAAGGCGGGGACGUGUCCCCGGAUGAGUGUACCUGAAGAAAAAGCAUCGGCUAACUCCGUGCCAGCAGCCGCGGUAAUACGGAGGAUGCGAGCGUUAUCCGGAUUUAUUGGGUUUAAAGGGUGCGCAGGCGGUCUGUUAAGUCAGCGGUCAAAGCCCGGGGCUCAACCCCGGCCCGCCGUUGAAACUGGCAGG